Molecule: long non-coding RNA, 6419 nt
Organism: Meriones unguiculatus (Mongolian gerbil)
Lineage: Eukaryota; Metazoa; Chordata; Mammalia; Rodentia; Muridae
Exons: 3
Source: RefSeq, a predicted model, not a curated record
CCAAACCAACCCAACCAAAACAAAAGCUUUACUUGAACAUCUGGGGCCCCUAGCCAACUGUCUGAGCCUCCCUUUCUCCCUUCGUGGAGCUUCUGUGUGUAGAUGGCUUGGGCCUUUGCAUAGCAGGGUGACCUCCGUGUGGUUGGACUUCUUUCCCACGCACAGCUUCCCAGUCAGAGACAAAGGGUAUCACUGCCUGUGCACUGAAUGUGUGGCACCGGAAAUGCCAGAGCAUUGUUUCCUGUAUGCUCCGCUUUCAACUUCGUUCUGUUGCUCAAAGCACAUCUCAAGGCCAGCCUGGUUAAGACAGGAAGUGUCGUCUACUUCCGGGUGGGAAGACUGAUAUAUCUAAAUGGAGAGAGGUGUGUUAAUAGUGGCCUUCCUAGACUUCCUGUGCAGGGGCAAGGGAGGGCAUGGAUGAAGGAUGACCAGUCUGUGUCUCUGGAAGGUUGAUACAAACAUCAGACCUAGGUUUUUGCAUCAUAUCUGAAAUCAGAAAGGAGACUUCUUUUCAGACCCCCGAUUCAUCAUUAGUAACUCAGAGAGAAGAGUGUUCGAGUAAAGGGCUGGGCCUUGGACCCCCUUCCAUUUCCAAGUGGUAUGGAUUAAGCACGUACGUCAUGGAGACGCUUGAGUUGAGGGUCCAAUUUUCUCUGGGAAUCCACAGAGAUCAGGGGGAACUCAGCUGGGUGCUGAAUGGUGACAGUGGGCACUCAGCCUGGGUCUGCCUGGGUACAUCACUGAGUCCUGACCAAACGAAGAGCCCAGCCAAGGCAUUCCCUAACACUCACAGGAAGGACGCACAAGGGUGUGGAGGACACGGCAUCAACUCCAGGUACUCGUCUUCCAACUCUCCCAACUCUGCCCUAUGAAGUCACAAAAGUGUGCAUCCCUCUCACCCAAGAAAUAACCAGCGGUGAUCUUUGAGGGGUAGUGGGUGCAGGACAGACAGCGUGGGGAGCUGAAACACCCGAAGGGCUGAGAACACCCCCUCCCGAGGAAGCCGAUAAAACUAUUAGGGAGGCUGAGAACAUCCUUGAAGGGCUGAAGAUGCUCUGGAGGACCCGAGAGCACUGAGAGCAAUCCUGGGGGAGGGGAUGAGGACAGUUGUGAGGAGCUGAGAACACUCCUGAGUGGUUGAGAACACUCCUGAGAGAGGUGAGGACCCUCCUGAGUGGCUGAGAACACUUGUGAGGGUCUGAGAACACUCCUGAGAGGGACAAGGACACUUGUGAGGAGCCGGGAACAUUCUCAAGGGCCUGAGAACACUCCAGAAGGGCUGGAAUACUCUUGAGGGGGAAUGGGAACUGUUGAAGGCUCAGAAACACUCUUGAAGAGGCUGAGAACAUACUCAAGAGAUGGAGACGCCUGAGGGGCUGAGGAGAGUGAUUUCAGGUCUCUUCUCUUCAUGGCUUUUCUACACCCUACUAAAAUUUACCCAGCAAGGGAGCUACGUUAUAAUGGUUGAUGGUGUAAAAAUCAAGCUGAAUGGGUUUAGUAAUCUACAAGCUGUGGAGUGUAGACAGGCUUCUAGGGGAUGGGAUGGGUAGGAGGCUCUUGGCCCCACUGUUCAGAAGAUGGGAGCAUGUAGGGCGUGUUUAGGUAGAAAGCAGAGUUUCGUCAGCAAGCGGCUUGGGUUUUGAGGUGGCAGGGAGAUGUCUGGGAGGACAUGGCCACAGUGCCUUAGAGUUUCUAUUGCUGUGAAGAGGCACCAUGGCCAAGACAACUCUUAUAAAGGAAAACCUAUAACCGGGGCUGGCUUACAGUUCACAGGUUUAGUCCAUUCACCAUGGCAGGAAGCAUGGUGGCCCACAGGCAGACAUGGUGUGCCGGGAGAGGUAGCUGAGAGUUCUACAUCUUGAUCCGCAGGCAGCAGGAAGAGAGAGAGAGACUGGGCCUGGCUUGAGCAUUUGAAACCUCAAAGCCCAGGCCCCAGAUGACACACUUCCUCUAACAGGACCACAGGGGCACACCUCCUAAUAGUGCCAUUCCCUAUGAGCCUAUGGGGGCCAUUUUCAUUCAAACCACCAUGCAUGGAAAGGGUGCAGGAGUCUGGACUCUAGCAUUGGUGCAAACGAAGCAGAAGCAGCUGAGAAGCACUAAGGGAGAGGCGAUAGGAAAGCAGAAGGGAGAAUCAGCACAUGACAGGGCUGAGGGAGGGGAGCCAUCAGAUGUCCUCAGUCUUGUGGAUACCCUGUCACUAGGCUCUGAACUCACUAGGAGGAAACACACUCUGCGGCCUCCUCCCACCCAGAUCACUCUUCUGCUUCUUCUGGUGGAAGGCAGCACUGACUGGACUUCCUCAGCCUGCCAUUCCAUCUGUCUAGGUUCACCUGCCUGUAGGCUGUCUUCUCUUUCUCGUCAGAAAUAUUGAAGGGGCAGAGAGGAGACUUCCCCAACUCUCACAGAGCCAACUGGAGUUCUUUCUGAGAACCCAAGAGGCCCAGUAACUCCCUGGGCUGUUUCCCUUAAGGUCAGACUUGAUGAGGGUUCGGAGCCUUCUCUGACAUACGGCCUGGGCCUCCCAGGUCAGAGGCCUCUUUCUCCUGAAGAGUCUAUCGGGAGAAAGGUGAGGAGAGUGAGGCGGGAGCUGUGGAGUUGCAUCCUGGAGUCUCCGUGUGCUGUGGCUUUCAGUGUCCUCACUCUGAGUGCUCACCCUGAAGUUGGUACCGGGCAUCUCUGAGCCCACUGCCCUUUUCCAUAUUCAUGCUGGCAGCCCUGUUGCAGGGGCUCAGAGUUGAAUGUCCCGGCCCUGAGAUCUUUGGAAACGUCACAUCUUCGAGUAGCUGGCACCGCACUGGUGUCUCUCUCUCCUGGGCCUCUUCUUUUGAAGAACGAAUAUAACAUUAACGAAUGACAUGAUUUCCUUUGGGUGGGUUUGCGGGCAGUAACAGCAACGUGCUCAAGCUGUUCUGAGCGGUUUGGGUUGUCAGCGACUUCAGGGGAAGUAGAUGUGAGAAGGACUGGAGGCUGCCUGCCUCUUACCUUGGUUCCUCAUUCCCAUUUACUUCAUGGUUAAAACAAACACAAGACAUUGCCAGCCUGUGUUUAUCCUUGCUGAUAUCCUAGGGAUUCUCCCUUUGACUUUUUCUCUUUGAACCAGCAAUAGAAAAGUUAUUUUGAAUCAUGUGUGUGUGUGUGUGUGUGUGUGUGUGUGAGAGAGAGAGAGAGAGAGAGAGAGAGAGAGAGAGAGACACACACACACACAGAGACAGAGAGAGAGGACAUUAAAGUGUCUUUUUUGUUUGCCUGUUUGUGUUUUUUUGAGACAGGGUUUCUCUGUGUAGCCUUGACUGUCCUGGAACUCACUCUGUAGACCAGGCUGGCCUCAAACUCACAGAGAUUCACCUGGCUCUGCCUCCCUGAGCACUGGCUUAAAGGUGUGUGCCACCACUGCCCAGCCAAAAUGUCUUUUUUAACUGGUUAUCGGCCUUUUGGGUCCUUUACUGAAGUUGGAUCCCAGCAUUUCUGUUAGACUGGCUAUCCAGGGAGCCCCUGUGAGCCACCUGCCAACACUUCCCAGCCCUGGGAUUACAGAAAUGCAUUGUCACACACGUGCUGUGUGCUCUGCGUGGGCCCUGGAGAGUCUAUCGGGAGUCUCAGGGCCUCACGCCUGCACAGCCAGUGCCUCCCCACCCCCACAGAGCCCUCUCUCCAGAACUCUUUGGUUUCCAACUUGGAUUUCAAUGUGAUGAUUGCAUUCUAAACUUGACAGAGACCUACGGGAGGCAGGUUAAGCAAUACAGCCGUGAUAAUCAAGGAAAGAAAGUUUUCACACAGAAAACACGUCAAUGAGUCACUCCAAACUGAGAUCUUAGAGUUGCUCCCAGCACGGUUCCCUCACCAGCUUGGAACUCACCAGCAUAAAUGGCAGCCUUCUGGUGUGAGAAAUGCGCCAAGGCACCCAGGAUCAAAUGCACAUUGGAGUCCUUAUCGUCUGUGGCCAACGCAAGACACUUUCAAGCAACUCAAAGGAAAAUGGACCGCUCAGUCCCCGCAAGCAACCUUCAAUAAUUCUUGCAAGAUUCCCUGUCCCAGCGAUCUGUCAAAGACUCGGGAAUAACAAGAAUAACACGAGCCGUCCUGGGUUGAGUGGGGACUGUGCACCGAGGGGUUCCCACGUGUUGACCCAGCCUGGAGAGCAGAUGACAUCAUCCCCUGAGACUGAUGGAGCAAGGCCUUACCCAGGACCUCUGCUGCCAGGUACAUCAGCGCCUAUCUGGACCCCCGCCCCACCCCAGAGGCAAGCAUCGUCUGUGUUUCCAGGCUGUCGGUGGGAGGAGCAGGACCCAGAGGCUUGCCCUCACUUUCUUCGAGGAAUGGCCAGGUGUGAGGAGCCUGCUGUGUUUCCCCGUCUGUCCAGGGUCCUCGUCUCUAAGGCCCCCCCAACUUCUUUUCCUGGGGUCCCUCAGUGCUUCGGGGCUUCAGAAGUGCCCCGCUUCUCCCCGCCCCCCCCCCCAGUCUCGGUGUUGCUAAGAAACGUAGCCUGAGGGUCCAAUCAGCAUCGAUUGGGGGCUCUCCAGGUGCUGCUAUUGGAAUCGCUGGUGCAGACUUCUGCUGUACACUAAGGUGAGAGAGUAAGCUCCCUGCUGUGAGUCUCCAAGGAGCGGGGAACCUGUCGCACUGUGUUCCCAGCUGAAUACCUGGUGACACGUGGUGGGGUUUCCUUGGAGGGAAAGGAUGCGGGAACAUGGCGAGGGAAAGUUGGGGUAACUGGAGAGGGUAGAGUGUGAGAGAGCGUUAGCAGAAGGAAGCCUUGAGGCUUCUCUGGGACACCCACCAUGGGCUCUUUUGAGGGUUACUGCCAGCACUCUGUCAAUCACUCCUUCCCGUCCCCUUUCUCCCUCAGACACAUACUCAGUUGCAGAAAAUAAAUUUUUUUGAAACUUGAACUCAAAAUGCUAGAAUGAGUAACUGGGUAUAAACUGGGUCACGAGGAAGUGACAACCAACACAGAGACUAUUUGAACUGCUGAAUCAGGCGUUUCUGCACCACGUUAUGAAAUACACAGGAAGGAAAACAAACAGAUGAUAGGAAUGGGAGGAAUCCUACAACAAUAUCUCCAUCCACAGAUUCUGGCUUAGCAUGGGCUUUAGUUUGCUGAAGGACGCUCCAAUAUUGCUCCCCAGAGAUGAAGGACUGGAAUAAAAUAGAUAGAGGAAAGACAUCUCAGCCGAGGUAGACAGCACCUGGGAUCACGUGGGCCCUGACCGUGAGCAUCCUUGGCCUGUGUGUCUUAGCUGCUCUGCUCCACCAAGCAGGCAGGUGUGCGGCAAAGCAAGGUAGCCCAAAAUAAACUCACAAAUAAAGAAUUUAAAAAUCUGCUCCAUGGGGCUGGAGAGAUGGCUCAGGGGUUAAGAGCACUGGCUGCUCUUCCAGAGGACCUGGGUUCAAUUCCCAACACCCACUUGGCAGCUCAGAGCUCUCUGUGGCUCCAGUUCCAGGGUCUCUGAUACCCUCACACAGACAUACAGGCAGGCAAAACACCAAUGCACAUAAAAUAAAAAUAAAAUUUAAACAAAUCUUAACAUUAAAAAAAAAAUCUGCUUCAUUUGUUCCCCUCAUAUAAACAAAACCCAUUUCUUUGGGUUUUACUGACCUUAUGCAUGUAUGUGUGUGCAGGGGGUGUGCAUGCCUGUGUGGCGCACAUGUAUGAGCACGAAUAUGGAAGCCAAAGGUCAAUCUUGGGUGCUGUUCCCCAGAAGCCCGCUAACCUUGUUCUCUGAGACAGGGUUUGUCUCUGGCCACAAGUUUAGGAUGGCUUCCCCACAAGCCCCAAAGAUCCUCCUGGGUCGGCCUACCACGCUGGGAUUACAAACACACACCGUCAUACCUCUGUUGGUUUUAAUUUAAAUGUGGACUUUGAGCAUCAAACUCAGGCCCUUACACGUACACAGCCAACACUUCUUAUGAGCUAUCUCCCCAGCCUAAGAUCUUAAAAACUGUAAUAAAUAGUGAGGCACAUACAUACACAUACAUACACAUACACACACACGCCAGCAUGUCAGUGGCAAUCUCUCUAGCCUUGCCAACCACCGGGUGCAGCAAGUGGGCCCGAAGGGGUGCCUGCCUGAGCAGUGGGCUACUUCGGAGGAGAUGAACCCCGAGCUAACGGAGCCCACAUCUUAUCAAUGGGCCACAGACAGGCCUAUCCUUUGUUCUGGAGGGAAAUGUUAUCUGUCUUCCAAGGUUCUGCUCAAGCCCUCCUCUUGCUUUGGAGACAUGGUAAGUUUAUCUCCCAAGGCUGAGUGCCACCCACAAAUCCUUGGAGAUACGGUCACAUGACAGGUGCUCAGAGUCUCUGGUCACAAGCGAUACAGAAAUGUGGGGUGCAGAAUCCUCGCCAAUAGUCUUCUUUUCAGGGCCUUCAGUGUAGUUUUGAUCAGAACUAUCUCACGUGUCUCCUUCAGCCAAGAGAG